GUGUCAGCAGCCGCGGUAAUACCAGCACCCCGAGUGGUCGGGACGAUUAUUGGGCCUAAAGCAUCCGUAGCCGGUCCUACAAGUCUUCCGUUAAAUCCACCUGCUCAACAGAUGGGCUGCGGAAGAUACUAUAGGGCUAGGAGGCGGGAGAGGCAAGCGGUACUCAGUGGGUAGGGGUAAAAUCCUCUGAUCCAUUGAAGACCACCAGUGGCGAAGGCGGCUUGCCAGAACGCGCUCGACGGUGAGGGAUGAAAGCUGGGGGAGCAAACCGGAUUAGAUACCCCGGUAGUCC
RNAcentral lists this ribosomal RNA (292 nucleotides) under uncultured bacterium. RNAcentral describes it as "partial 16S ribosomal RNA". It matches the Rfam family "Archaeal small subunit ribosomal RNA", at positions 455 to 747 of the family's 1478-position model. The record is from RNAcentral.